Molecule: ribosomal RNA, 803 nt
Filed under: uncultured bacterium
Lineage: Bacteria
Description: bacterial SSU rRNA
Rfam family: Bacterial small subunit ribosomal RNA
Source: RNAcentral
GCAGUCGAGGGGCAGCAUCAUCAAAGCUUGCUUUGAUGGAUGGCGACCGGCGCACGGGUGAGUAACACGUAUCCAACCUGCCGACAACACUGGGAUAGCCUUUCGAAAGAAAGAUUAAUACCGGAUGGCAUAGUUUUCCCGCAUGGGAUAAUUAUUAAAGAAUUUCGGUUGUCGAUGGGGAUGCGUUCCAUUAGGCAGUUGGCGGGGUAACGGCCCACCAAACCAACGAUGGAUAGGGGUUCUGAGAGGAAGGUCCCCCACAUUGGAACUGAGACACGGUCCAAACUCCUACGGGAGGCAGCAGUGAGGAAUAUUGGUCAAUGGACGAGAGUCUGAACCAGCCAAGUAGCGUGAAGGAUGACUGCCCUAUGGGUUGUAACCUUCUUUUAUACGGGAAUAAAGUUAGCCACGUGUGGCUUUUUGUAUGUACCGUAUGAAUAAGGAUCGGCUAACUCCGUGCCAGCAGCCGCGGUAAUACGGAGGAUCCGAGCGUUAUCCGGAUUUAUUGGGUUUAAAGGGAGCGUAGGCGGGUUGUUAAGUCAGUUGUGAAAGUUUGCGGCUCAACCGUAAAAUUGCAGUUGAUACUGGCGACCUUGAGUGCAACAGAGGUAGGCGGAAUUCGUGGUGUAGCGGUGAAAUGCUUAGAUAUCACGAAGAACUCCGAUUGCGAAGGCAGCUUACUGGAUUGUAACUGACGCUGAUGCUCGAAAGUGUGGGUAUCAAACAGGAUUAGAUACCCUGGUAGUCCACACAGUAAACGAUGAAUACUCGCUGUUGGCGAUAUACAGUCAGCGGCCAAGCGA